Molecule: ribosomal RNA, 446 nt
Filed under: uncultured bacterium
Lineage: Bacteria
Description: partial 16S ribosomal RNA
Rfam family: Bacterial small subunit ribosomal RNA
Source: RNAcentral
CCUACGGGAGGCAGCAGUCGAGAAUCAUUCACAAUGGGGGAGACCCUGAUGGUGCGACGCCGCGUGGGGGAAUGAAGGUCUUCGGAUUGUAAACCCCUGUCAUGUGGGAGCAAAUUAAAAAGUUAGUACCACAAGAGGAAGUGACGGCUAACUCUGGGCCGACAGCCGCGGUAAUAAAGAGGGCUCAAGCGUUGUUCGUAAUCACUGGGAGUAGAGCGUGCGUAGGCUGUGUCGUAAGUCGCGUGGGAAAGGGGCGGGCUGAACCCGCGGACGGCACAUGAUACUGCGAGACUGGAGUAGUGGAGGGGGAAGCGGAAUUCGCGGUGUAGCAGUGAAAUGCGUAGAUAUCGCGAGGAACACUGGUGGCGAAGGCGGGUUCCCGGACAUUAACUGACGCUGAGGCACGAAGGCCAGGGGAGCGAAAGGGAUUAGAUACCCGGGUAGUC